Molecule: RNA transcript, 6644 nt
Organism: Oncorhynchus kisutch (coho salmon)
Lineage: Eukaryota; Metazoa; Chordata; Actinopteri; Salmoniformes; Salmonidae
Gene name: ankyrin repeat domain-containing protein 13A-like
Exons: 14
Source: RefSeq, a predicted model, not a curated record
AGCUAUGUCAAAAUAUGGACAAUGAGCUAGCUAUAUGUACUUUUCUGUUUCGCUGCCUUUAGCUAACUAACUACAGAUUUAUUUGCUUCAAAGUGUCUGAAGCUAGCUAGCACGUUACUAACUUGGCUACCUUGAUAGCUAACGUUAGCUACUUGGCCUGACAUGGAUAACCAUAUACUUUGAUUGGCGUAAUUUCUAGGCUAUGUAUGCUCUGCCAGUUUAAGGGUUCAUGGAAUGCCAUGUUGCAUUAUUGAUCAUAUUAACUACAGUACACAUUUCAUUCAGCAUAGCUAGCCGCCUUGUUUACAUUACUACUGGCUACUUUUGUCUGGCACAGGCUGGCCACUGAUUCUUGAAACGCCUUAAGAGUUUAGAAACGGUAUUUUCCUACUAUAAUAACCUAGCUGAGAAUUGAUGUGGAUAAUUAUCAGCAAAUCAUAACCCAAAGAUAUGGUUGCUUUUCUCCAUUCUAAAUGUUUUUUGUGGUCAGUUGAGUAUUUGUUAUUAACAGGAAAUGAGGGAGUUCUUUUAACCUGAGCCGCGGUGAACCGGUUUAUGGCCCGUGAAGUGCAAAAGUGGUGAGGGAGGAGCGCCCUUCACAAAUUAACAGUAAUCUGAGCUGCUCGGUCAAUGCAGCAUUUAGCCUCUUUCAACUUCACCUGUUCUCUCCAUUUCAACUUCACCUGUUGUCUUCUGAUUUUGCCACUAUGUCUGAGGUAAUCUGAUACAAAAUAUCCACAGGGAAGCAUUAUCAAUCAGACCUUCAGUAUGCUGGUCAGUAUAUUGAUUUGUGUUUUUAUUUUCAAUAAUGACACAAUUCGCACAAACACUUGCACAAUAUGGCUGAGCCAAACCGAACCACAGGGUGCAUGUUGUCCCGCACAAUCAGCUGGCAAAUUUUACGCAUCCAGAUUGAGGAAAUGUGCUUCGGAUGAUAAGUUUGGUUACAUUUGGCUAUUGUUUACAUAUUGUGCAAUGCGUCAGGAGAUUGAAAAUACAAGCGGCAGAACCUACCGGUGCUGCAAAAAGUUGGGUAAACAACACUUUCCUGUGUAUACCCUAUCUCCACCUCCUAACUUCAAAAGGACCAACAGCAUGUACAACCGGUAAAAACGACGUAGAGGCUGUGGAUCCCAGGGGAAGGACACCGCUCCACCUGGCUGUGUCGCUGGGCCACCUGGAGUCGGUGAGAGUGCUUCUGAGAAAUGGUGCUGAAGUUACCAAAGAGAAUGCCAAGAAUUGGACAGUGCUGCAGGAGGCAGUCAGCACCGGCGACCCAGAGAUGGUUCAGCUAGUGCUCCAGCGGCGAGACUACCUCAAAGCCUCUACAGCUCUGGGAGGAGUGCCUGAGCUUCUGAGCAAGAUCCGUGAGUCCCAAGAUUUCUACAUGGAAAUGAAAUGGGAGUUCACAAGUUGGAUCCCUCUCGUUUCCCGGGUUUGUCCCAGUGACGUGUGUCGGAUCUGGAAGAGUGGGGCCAGCCUGCGCGUGGACGCCACUCUGCUAGGCUUCGAGAACAUGACCUGGAUCAGAGGUCGUCGGAGCUACAUUUUCAGGGGAGAUGAUGUCUGCACAGAGUUGAUGGAGGUGAACCAUGACGAACAGGUGGUGGACACGGAACGCUUUGACAUCUCCAGGGAGAUAGAAGAUGUAACGCUGGACUCCAUGCAACCUGCAGAACAGGAAGUGGCCAAGCGGCUGACCACGCCCAUUGUCAAUACCUUUCUAGACACCAGGGACAUUGCUUUUGAGAGAAAUAAAUCUGGGAUUUGGGGUUGGAGGAGUGACAAAACGGAAGUUGUUAAUGGUUUCGAGGCGAAGGUUUUCACUGUGAACAAUGUAAACGUGGUGAUCCGGACGAGGACAGAGCAUCUCACCGAUGAGGAGAAGGCUAGAAUAAAAAGUGAGAGGAAUGUUCUGGAGUCUCUUCUGGGUACAGUGGAGCAGCAGAUAAGUGCUCAAGGGGACCUCACUCUGGAGUACGCGACAGCCAACAACCCCACCGCCAUCACACCAGAGGAGUACUUUGACCCUGCGUUUGACCUUGAAGACCGAGACAUUGGCCGGCCCAUUGAACUUACCAUCCGAACCCAGAAGUUCAAGGGUACAUUGUGGAUGAGCGAGGAACACCCCCUCUCCCUGGUGGAGCAGGUCACCCCCAUCAUCGAUCUCAUGGCCCGGACCAGCACCCACUUCGCCCGGCUGCGGGAUUUUGUCACCCUCAAGUUCCCUCCAGGGUUCCCUGUAAAAAUAGAGAUUCCCCUAUUCCAUGUGCUCAACGCCCGCAUUUCAUUUGACAGUGUCAACAAAUGCAGUACAGCCGAACCCUUGGAGACACCCCCCUCCGCUGCCACACCUGAGGAGGAGGAGGAGGAGGUGGAGGAGGUGAGGGAGGAUGGAGGCUGCGGCGAAGCUGCAGUUCCCCCUCUAUUCCAGGUGUGCCCGUCUGUGUUUGAGGUGCCCUCACACUACCGCCACCGAGGAGGGGGUGGCAGCCGCCACACGCCGGUGUCAAAUCAUGACGAGGAGCUACUGCAGUAUGCCAUCCACCAGAGUCUGCUGGAGUCCGGUGGGGGAGCCCCGGGACAGGUCCUAGAUCACACACACACCCCUCCUACUCAUCUGUUUGACUCCCUAUCUGGUCCUCUUGCGCUCACGGCCGCCUUAGUGUUCGACCAGUGGUCGGUCUGUUCAGGAAGCUGCAAUGUUGUAAAACCUCCAGAUAGAAUGGAUUGCGUGGAAACUAUAGUAUUGUCUGACAUAAGGAAUAGGGAACUCUGUCCAUUACAUUUAUGCAAGUUUUAUCUGCGAUGUGCCAGGAUUUUCACCUCGCUAACUCCACCUUUUUGUUUUGUCCUCUAGGAAGUGACCUGGGAGGAUGCCAAUGGUGACCUCACAGACCCCAUAAUCAGUAGCCAGAGUGACGGAAGCAUCCCAGGGGGGGUGCUGGUGGACUUGGGAGACACCACGUCGAGUCAGGCGAGCUCGGGCACCUCUGCCUCCAGCCCCGACACGGACCUCCGCAUGGCCAUGGAGCUGUCGGCCCGGGCCCAGGCCGAGGAGGAGAGGAGGAGGAAGGAGGAAGAGGAGGAGCUGGAGAGGAUAUUGCAGCUCUCGCUCACAGAGAAGUAAAAAAAGGAAAAUAGGAGGGAAAGAAUAAUAAUUAAGGCCACGCCUUGCCAUAACUGCAUUAACUUUUCGUUGAUCAAGAAGCGGCCACCACCACACCCCCAAUCCAGCCCCACCCCACCCUCCUUCACUACAAUCUGCCAUGACACCGGAAAAACAUCCAUGUAACAUAUGUCAAAUAAAACCAUCUGUAUUUAAUACUUUAAUACCUAUUUUUGGUUUAAAAAAAAAAAAACGAACAGAUGUAUUGCUAGAUUUGUAUUUCUAUAUAACACUUAGGCUCUGUCUUAAAAGUAUAGAAGCUGUCAAAUCCUUGAUUCCUCCCGUCCUUUUAAAACAGAGCCAAAGCCACUCCGCUCUCCCGAAGAGGUAUCCAGGUAUUUUUUGAUAUUAUUUGGGGAAGGAUUUCCAUUGGAGUAUAAGGGUUCCAACAAGUGAUUGUGUUUGUUGGGUGUUGUGAAGAUCAGGUUAAACUUGGGACCGGUAGCUGCUUUUAGUUGUGACUCUGGAAGGUUGUUGUUUUUAGAGCCCUGGGUCAAUUUCAUUAGGCACCAAAUGGACGGGAGCAGAAUGAAACCGGGAGGGGCUACCUGCACAUUUUCAGUUUCCUGUUGCAAAAAGUUUUUAAAACAUGUUUUAUUUUUUUAUUAAGAUGACCCUGGAAAUGGCAUUCCAGUCACACAGCCAUUCGAAAGAUUGAAUAUCUCAGGGUUCCAUUGUUCUACAGUCCCUCUGAAACUAGUGAAAGUGCAGUAUGUUAGUUUAUUGUAGACACAUCGAACAUGGUUUUCUGGUCAUCAAAAUGGAUUUUUUUUUCUUUGAAAACUUUACUUUACUCUACUUUGAACAGAAUGUCAUCAAACAAAAUGACUUGCUGGUGCUUCCAACCCUUUUUCUUCUCGUGCUGCAAGAAUUCAUGUUUUGUAUUCGUGUUGUCGUUGACACAAUGUUAAAAUGAAAGUGAACUACAUGAUCAUUCAAACAGGUUUUGACUUGCCCCAGAAACCAGGUUUUAUUCAAUUGGGCUAAGGGCUUGUUAUGCAAGAGGGUUUGAUCUUGUUGGCCAUGGUCACUGGGCACCAUCAAGCAUCAGAACCUCAACAAAGCAUUAGCAGAAGCCGCUGUGCCUACCUGUGGAUGUCAAAGGAGCAUACACACGGUUCAGUGGUGCUCGCAAACAAACAAGGUCGAAAACAUUGAUUAUCGUAGGCAUUGUCUAACACUUUCCUUUCUUAAAUGUCAAAGAAUCUGUCCAUUAGACUUCAAACUCAACAGGGUUCUAAGGACUCCUGUUAGGGCUGUCUUUUAAAAAACAAAUGGAUCUUGAAACUACAGAGACCUGUGAAAUGAGUGACGUGUCAGAUCUGCUCCAUGUAGCAUCAUUUUGUACUGAAGGAAGCGAUCCCCUCUAACGUUCCCAAUCCCAAAUGGAGCUUACCUACAGUGCCUUUGGAAAGUAUUCACACCCCUUGACUUUUUCCACAUUUUUAGUUACAGCCUUAUUCUAAAAUGGAUUCAAUUGUUUUUUUUCUCCCUCAUCAAUCUACACACAAUAACACAAUGACAAAGCAAAAACAGUUAUUUAUAAAUAAAGUAUUCAGACCCUUUACUCAGUACUUUGUUGAAGCACCUUUGGCAGCGAUUACAGCCUCGUGUCUUUUUGGGUAUGACGCUACAAGCUUGGCACACCUGUAUUUGGGAAGUUUCUCCCAUUCUUCUCUGCAGAUCCUCUCAAGAUUUGUCAGGUUGAAUGGGGAGCAUUGUUGCACAGCUAUUUUCAGGUCUCUCCAGAGAUGUUCAAUUGGGCUCUGGCUGGGCCACUCAAGGACAUUGAGACUUGCCCCAAAACCACUCCUGUGUUGUCUUGGCUAUGCUUAGGGUUGUUGUCCUGUUGGAAGGUGAACCUUCGCCCCAGUCUGAAGUCCUGAGCACUCUGGAGCAGGUUUCCAUCAAGGAUUUCUCUGUGCUUUGUUUCGUUCAUCUUUGCCUCGAUCCUGACGAGUCUCCCAGUCCCUGCAGCUGAAAAACAUCCCCACCGCAUGAUGCUGUUACCACCAUGCUUCACCGUAGGUAUGGUUCCACGUUUCCUCCAGACGUGAUGCUUGGCAUUCAGGCCAAAGAGUUCAAUCUUGGUUUCAUCAGAUCAGAGAAUCUUGUUGCUCAUGGUCUGAGAGUCUUUAGGUGCCAUUUAGCAAACAACAAGCAGACUGUCAUGUGCCUUUUAUUGAGGAGUGACUGAUUGGUGGAGUGCUGCAGAGAUGGUUAUCCCAUCUCCACAGAGGAACUCUAGAGCUCUGUCAGAGUGACCACCGGGUUCUUGGUCGCCUCCCUGACCAAGGCCCUUCUCCCCCGAUUGCUCACCUUGGCCGGGUGGCCUGCUCUAGGGAGAGUCUUGGUGGUUCAAUUUAAGAAUGAUGGAGGCCACUGUGUUCUUGGUGACCUUCAAUGCUGCCAACAUUUUUUGGUUCCCUUCCCAGAUCUGUGCCUCGACACAAUACUGUCUCGGAGCUCUGCGGACAAAUUCCUCGACCUCGUGGUUUGGUUUUUGCUCUGACAUGCACUGUCAACUGUGAGAGCUUAUAUAGACAGGUGUGUGCCUUUCCAAAUAAUGUCUAAUCAGUUGAAUUUACCAUGGGUGGACUCCAAUCAAGUUGUAGAAACAUCUCAAGGAUGAUCAAUGGAAACAAGAUGCACCUGAGCUCAAUUUCGAGUCUCAUACCAAAGGGUCUGAAUACUUAUGUAAAUAAGGUAUUUCUAAAACCCUGUUCACUUUGUCAUUAUAGAGUAUUGUGUGUAGAUUGCUGAGGAUUUUUUUUUGUAUUUAUCAAUUUUAUAAUAAGGCUGUAACGUAAUAACAUUUGGAAAAAGUCAAGGAGUCUGAAUACUUUCCAAAGGCACUGUAUGCUCUUGUGCAGACCUGAGAAGAUUUGAUAGGUGUACUCGAUAUGGUAAUAAAUUGAACUUGCCCUCUGAUGGGCUAGGGAUUUUUUUUUUAAAUCGUACUGCCAAUUAUAUCUCCACAAGUGCAUAGUAGGGUCUUGAUUCCGCUUGGGCCACAGACAUGAUUUGGUCGGGAGGAUCAGUGUUCAACUGCUACUCAGGCCAGACCUACUAAAGACAGCAGAGAAUAUUUGAAAUGUCUCAUCUUUAAAGCUGUGAUCAAGGGGCUUAAAAAAAAGUUUCCCGUCCAUUGGUGUUGCUGGACAUAAAAUGAAUUAACCAAUGUAGUUAAUUACACUGAUAACCAACAGCACUUUGGACAUGUUACUGAUGUGUCUUUUCGUCUGUUUUCUGGGGACUAGAGCUCAAAACGGCUAAUGAUCAAGUUGCCAAACAGCAGAACAUUCUCGAAAGUUCCUGAGUUCACUUUGAUUAGAUUUCUGGGGAACAGUCUUCGUACUGCUUAAUUUGCUAGCAGGUACGCUUAUUUUUUCUAACAGAAUUCAAGAAAGCAUUUGUUAACUGUGAUGUUGGUUUCAAAUUGUUUUCUUUCUUAAAUAAAUGCACUUUAUUUCAA